AUACGUAGGGGGCGAACGUUGUCCGGAAUUAUUGGGCGUAAAGGGUACGCAGGCGGCCAUGUAAGUCAGAUGUGAAAGGUCAGGGCUUAACCCUGGUUAGCAUUUGAAACUGUGUGGCUUGAGUUAAGGAGAGGAAAGUGGAAUUCCUGGUGUAGCGGUGAAAUGCGUAGAUAUCAGGAGGAAUACCAGUGGCGAAGGCGACUUUCUGGACUUAUACUGACGCUGAGGUACGAAAGCGUGGGGAGCAAACAGGAUUAGAUACCCUGGUAGUCCACGCCGUAAACGAUGAGUGCUAGGUGUCGGGUGUCAAAGCUCGGUGCCGGAGUUAACACAUUAAGCACUCCGCCUGGGGAGUACGUUCGCAAGAAUGAA
Molecule: ribosomal RNA, 372 nt
Filed under: uncultured bacterium
Lineage: Bacteria
Description: bacterial SSU rRNA
Rfam family: Bacterial small subunit ribosomal RNA
Source: RNAcentral